RNAcentral lists this ribosomal RNA (450 nucleotides) under uncultured bacterium. RNAcentral's name for it is "bacterial SSU rRNA". It matches the Rfam family "Bacterial small subunit ribosomal RNA", at positions 29 to 524 of the family's 1533-position model. The record is from RNAcentral.
AACGAACGCUGGCGGCAUGCCUAACACAUGCAAGUCGAACGAAGCCUUCGGGCUUAGUGGCGCACGGGUGCGUAACGCGUGGGAAUCUGCCCUUGGGUUCGGAAUAACAGUUAGAAAUGACUGCUAAUACCGAAUGAUGUCUUCGGACCAAAGAUUUAUCGCCCAAGGAUGAGCCCGCGUCGGAUUAGCUAGUUGGUGAGGUAAAGGCUCACCAAGGCGACGAUCCGUAGCUGGUCUGAGAGGAUGAUCAGCCACACUGGGACUGAGAUACGGCCCAGACUCCUACGGGAGGCAGCAGUGGGGAAUAUUGGACAAUGGGGGCAACCCUGAUCCAGCAAUGCCGCGUGAGUGAUGAAGGCCUUAGGGUUGUAAAGCUCUUUUGCCAGGGAAGAUGAUGACUGUACCUGGAGAAUAAGCCCCGGCUAACUUCGUGCCAGCAGCCGCGGUAAU